RNAcentral lists this ribosomal RNA (254 nucleotides) under uncultured bacterium. Its description in RNAcentral is "partial 16S ribosomal RNA". It matches the Rfam family "Bacterial small subunit ribosomal RNA", at positions 57 to 305 of the family's 1533-position model. The record is from RNAcentral.
GCAAGUCGAGGGGCAGCAUAAAACAAGCUUGCUUGUUUGGUGGCGACCGGUGCACGGGUGCGUAACGCGUAUGCAACCUACGCUGUACUGAGGGAUAGCCCGGAGAGAUUCGGGUUAACCUGUCAUAGGAUCUUAGAUCGGCAUCGAUUAGAGAUUAAAGGUUACGGUACAGGAUGGGCAUGCGUCCCAUUAGCUAGAUGGUAAGGUAACGGCUUACCAUGGCAACGAUGGGUAGGGGGCCUGAGAGGGUGGUC